CAGCUAGUUGGUGAGGUAACGGCUCACCAAGGCUAUGAUCGUUAGCUGGUCUGAGAGGAUGGCCAGCCACACUGGAACUGAGACACGGUCCAGACUCCUACGGGAGGCAGCAGUGGGGAAUCUUGCACAAUGGGCGAAAGCCUGAUGCAGCGACGCCGCGUGGGGGAUGAAGCUUUUCGGAGUGUAAACCCCUUUCGACCCGGACGAAUGCCCCGCAAGGGGACUGACGGUACGGGUAUAAGAAGCCCCGGCUAACUACGUGCCAGCAGCCGCGGUAAGACGUAGGGGGCCAGCGUUGCUCGGAAUUACUGGGUGUAAAGGGUUCGUAGGCGGUGUGGCAAGUCGGGAGUGAAAUCUCUGGGCUCAACCCAGAGGCUGCUUCCGAAACUGCUGUGCUUGAGUGUGGGAGAGGCGCGUGGAAUUGCAGGUGUAGCGGUGAAAUGCGUAGAUAUCUGCAGGAACACCCGUGGCGAAAGCGGCGCGCUGGACCACAACUGACGCUGAGGAACGAAAGCUAGGGGAGCAAACAGGAUUAGAUACCCUGGUAGUCCUAGCCCUAAACGAUCAGGACUUGGGGUGCUUCACGUUCGUGGAGCGUCCCGGAGCUAACGCGUUAAGUCCUGCACC
This 627-nucleotide ribosomal RNA is filed under the name uncultured Acidobacteriota bacterium. RNAcentral's name for it is "SSU rRNA". It matches the Rfam family "Bacterial small subunit ribosomal RNA", at positions 242 to 873 of the family's 1533-position model. The record is from RNAcentral. Lineage: Bacteria; Pseudomonadati; Acidobacteriota.